RNAcentral lists this small nuclear RNA (132 nucleotides) under Castor canadensis (American beaver). RNAcentral's name for it is "U1 spliceosomal RNA (ENSCCNG00000007955.1)". It matches the Rfam family "U1 spliceosomal RNA". Rfam says of the family: U1 is a small nuclear RNA (snRNA) component of the spliceosome (involved in pre-mRNA splicing). Its 5' end forms complementary base pairs with the 5' splice junction, thus defining the 5' donor site of an intron. Lineage: Eukaryota; Metazoa; Chordata; Mammalia; Rodentia; Castoridae. The record is from RNAcentral.
CUACUUACCUAGAAGGUGGUUUUCUCAGCGCCAGGCUUAUCUAUUGCAUUCUAGGUGUGUGAUUUCCCCAAAUGUGGGAAAUUCAACUGCAUAAUUUGUGGUAGUGGGGGACUGUGUUUGUGCUCUUGCCUA